This 730-nucleotide ribosomal RNA is filed under the name uncultured bacterium. RNAcentral describes it as "bacterial SSU rRNA". It matches the Rfam family "Bacterial small subunit ribosomal RNA", at positions 771 to 1501 of the family's 1533-position model. The record is from RNAcentral.
AACAGGAUUAGAUACCCUGGUAGUCCACGCCGUAAACGAUGUCGACUUGGAGGUUGUUCCCUUGAGGAGUGGCUUCCGGAGCUAACGCGUUAAGUCGACCGCCUGGGGAGUACGGCCGCAAGGUUAAAACUCAAAUGAAUUGACGGGGGCCCGCACAAGCGGUGGAGCAUGUGGUUUAAUUCGAUGCAACGCGAAGAACCUUACCUACUCUUGACAUCCAGAGAACUUAGCAGAGAUGCUUUGGUGCCUUCGGGAACUCUGAGACAGGUGCUGCAUGGCUGUCGUCAGCUCGUGUUGUGAAAUGUUGGGUUAAGUCCCGCAACGAGCGCAACCCUUAUCCUUUGUUGCCAGCGGUUAGGCCGGGAACUCAAAGGAGACUGCCAGUGAUAAACUGGAGGAAGGUGGGGAUGACGUCAAGUCAUCAUGGCCCUUACGAGUAGGGCUACACACGUGCUACAAUGGCGCAUACAAAGAGAAGCGACCUCGCGAGAGCAAGCGGACCUCAUAAAGUGCGUCGUAGUCCGGAUUGGAGUCUGCAACUCGACUCCAUGAAGUCGGAAUCGCUAGUAAUCGUAGAUCAGAAUGCUACGGUGAAUACGUUCCCGGGCCUUGUACACACCGCCCGUCACACCAUGGGAGUGGGUUGCAAAAGAAGUAGGUAGCUUAACCUUCGGGAGGGCGCUUACCACUUUGUGAUUCAUGACUGGGGUGAAGUCGUAACAAGGUAACC